RNAcentral lists this ribosomal RNA (506 nucleotides) under Glomus sp. Glo2. Its description in RNAcentral is "SSU rRNA". It matches the Rfam family "Eukaryotic small subunit ribosomal RNA", at positions 569 to 1078 of the family's 1831-position model. Lineage: Eukaryota; Fungi; Glomeromycota; Glomeromycetes; Glomerales; Glomeraceae. The record is from RNAcentral.
AGCAGCCGCGGUAAUUCCAGCUCCAAUAGCGUAUAUUAAAGUUGUUGCAGUUAAAAAGCUCGUAGUUGAAUUUCGGGAUUAGUACGUUGGUCGUGCCUUAGGUACGUACUGGUGUUACUGGUUCCUACCUUCUGACGAACCAUCAUGUCAUUAAUUUGGUGUGGCGGGGAAUCAGGACUGUUACUUUGAAAAAAUUAGAGUGUUUAAAGCAGGCUCGCGCUUGAAUACAUUAGCAUGGAAUAAUGAAAUAGGACGUUGACCCUAUUUUGUUGGUUUCUAGGAUUGACGUAAUGAUUAAUAGGGAUAGUUGGGGGCAUUAGUAUUCAAUUGUCAGAGGUGAAAUUCUUGGAUUUAUUGAAGACUAACUACUGCGAAAGCAUUUGCCAAGGAUGUUUUCAUUAAUCAAGAACGAAAGUUAGGGGAUCGAAGACGAUCAGAUACCGUCGUAGUCUUAACCAUAAACUAUGCCCGACUAGGGAUCGGAUGAUGUUAUUUUUAAUGACUCA